Molecule: long non-coding RNA, 294 nt
Organism: Hyla sarda
Lineage: Eukaryota; Metazoa; Chordata; Amphibia; Anura; Hylidae
Exons: 3
Source: RefSeq, a predicted model, not a curated record
AGGUACCUGUGGAUAAAGUGGUUUUCCUCCAGAUACUGGCAUCCAUUGGCGAUAUCACGAGCCACGUUAAGUAGGUCCAGCAUAGUGAGGGAAGACGGCUGAUUCUAUACAGAAAAGGUCACACUGAGCCACAGAUGUCAGUGCGGAGAAUACAGAAGGUCUUGGUCGUGUCUGUCUGAGAAAAGACUUCAGAUCUCCACCAGCCAUAAGUUCCAGCAGAAUAAAGCGUGGCAGGGCCUGCAGGCUCACUCCGAUGCAUCGCACUAUAUUUUGAUGGUUGAAUUUACUGUGGGA